RNAcentral lists this ribosomal RNA (254 nucleotides) under uncultured bacterium. Its description in RNAcentral is "partial 16S ribosomal RNA". It matches the Rfam family "Bacterial small subunit ribosomal RNA", at positions 524 to 776 of the family's 1533-position model. The record is from RNAcentral.
GACAGAGGCCUCAAGCGUUAGGCGGAAUCACUGGGCUUAAAGCGUGUGUAGGCGGACGCCUAAGUGUCUUGUGAAAUCCCCCGGCUCACCCGGGGAACUGCUGGGCAUACUGGGCGUCUUGGGCCAACUAGGGGCAACUGGAACAAGCGGUGGAGCGGUGAAAUGCGUAGAUAUCGCUUGGAACGCCGAAGGUGAAAACAGGUUGCUGGGGUUGUGCCGACGCUGAGACACGAAAGGCCAGGGGAGCAAACGGG